Molecule: unclassified non-coding RNA, 221 nt
Filed under: Hevea brasiliensis (rubber tree)
Lineage: Eukaryota; Viridiplantae; Streptophyta; Magnoliopsida; Malpighiales; Euphorbiaceae
Source: RNAcentral
CAAGUUUUCUUGCCCGAAAUCCAGAUGGCAUUGAUGGCAAUGGACAUGCAGGCCAUUCAAGCCACCUUAACUCAUUAGGAAGAUCCACAGGACCUCCAGUAAUAUGAGCAUUGCGGAUUAACAGUAUUCGAAGUCUUCGCAUUUUCAAAAAUGCUUCAGCACUCAACUGUAUCUCUUCAGAUUCAGGUAGGUCUACCAAAAUGCCUUCGAUGUCAUCUGUU